CCUGAUCCAGCAAUGCCGCGUGAGUGAAGAAGGCCUUCGGGUUGUAAAGCUCUUUCAGUUGAGAAGAAAAAAUUGUGACUAAUAAUCACAAUUGAUGACGGUAUCAACAGAAGAAGCACCGGCUAACUACGUGCCAGCAGCCGCGGUAAUACGUAGGGUGCGAGCGUUAAUCGGAAUUACUGGGCGUAAAGGGUGCGCAGGCGGUUUUGUAAGUCAGAUGUGAAAUCCCCGGGCUUAACCUGGGAAUUGCGUUUGAAACUACAAAGCUAGA
RNAcentral lists this ribosomal RNA (271 nucleotides) under uncultured Nitrosomonas sp. RNAcentral's name for it is "partial 16S ribosomal RNA". It matches the Rfam family "Bacterial small subunit ribosomal RNA", at positions 382 to 645 of the family's 1533-position model. Lineage: Bacteria; Pseudomonadati; Pseudomonadota; Betaproteobacteria; Nitrosomonadales; Nitrosomonadaceae. The record is from RNAcentral.